GUCGAUUCGGCUAAUUUUCGUUACUUGGAGAGAUAGGCUCAGUGCUCUAGUGAUCUUACUUUUACAUGUAAACAGUCUACUAUUGGGACCUUGCAACAUUAAAAACCUAAAGCAUUGGAGUCUAGUGAGAAAAGGAAGUAGAUAAGGUUAGAUUUGGUGCUAUGUCUGCCAAUACUUCUACUGAUCAACAUUCAGAACUUGCUCUUUUAAGUUUUUCUGCGUGAGUCAAAAAAUACGCUUUCUCUUGUAGUAAUUCAAUUUUGAUUUAACUUAUUUUCUUUCUUGGGGAAAAUAGGCUUAAUGCUCUGAUGAUCUCUUGGACAUUUACAUGUAAACAAUCUACUGUUAGACCUUGCAACAUUCAGAAAACUAUUGCAUUGGAGACUAGUGGAGCAAAGCAAAUGGAUAAGGUUAGAUUUGGUGUUGUGUCUACCAAAUACUUAUUCUACUAUUUGACAUUCAUAACUGGCUUAUUUAUGUCGAUGUGCAUGAGUCAAGAAAGCAAUUUCUCUUGUAGUAAUUCAAUUUUGAUUCAACUUGUUUUCUUUCCUUAGAGAGAUAGGCUCAGUGCUUUGAUGAUCUCUUGUACUUUUACAUGUAAACAGGCGAAUGGUAGACCAUCUUGCAACUUUCAUAAAACUACUGGAUUGGAGACUAUUGGAGCAAAGCUUGGACAAGGUUAGAUUUGAUAUUCUAUUGGUGAUUACCACUCAGGUCCAACUUUGAUAAAAUUAUGUCAUAUGUUGCCUAUUUUAAUACCUCAACCCGAAU
This 771-nucleotide long non-coding RNA is filed under the name Capsella grandiflora. RNAcentral describes it as "long non-coding RNA (CGRA_LNC000664)". The record is from RNAcentral. Lineage: Eukaryota; Viridiplantae; Streptophyta; Magnoliopsida; Brassicales; Brassicaceae.